Molecule: ribosomal RNA, 484 nt
Filed under: uncultured bacterium
Lineage: Bacteria
Description: partial 16S ribosomal RNA
Rfam family: Bacterial small subunit ribosomal RNA
Source: RNAcentral
AUUGAACGCUGGCGGCAGGCCUAACACAUGCAAGUCGAGCGGAUGAAGGGAGCUUGCUCCUGGAUUCAGCGGCGGACGGGUGAGUAAUGCCUAGGAAUCUGCCUGGUAGUGGGGGAUAACGUCCGGAAACGGGCGCUAAUACCGCAUACGUCCUGAGGGAGAAAGUGGGGGAUCUUCGGACCUCACGCUAUCAGAUGAGCCUAGGUCGGAUUAGCUAGUUGGUGGGGUAAAGGCCUACCAAGGCGACGAUCCGUAACUGGUCUGAGAGGAUGAUCAGUCACACUGGAACUGAGACACGGUCCAGACUCCUACGGGAGGCAGCAGUGGGGAAUAUGGGACAAUGGGCGAAAGCCUGGUCCAGCCAGGCCGCGUGUGUGAAGAAGGUCUUCGGAUUGUAAAGCACUUUAAGUUGGGAGGAAGGGCAGUAAGUUAAUACCUUGCUGUUUUGACGUUACCAACAGAAUAAGCACCGGCUAACUACGUG